GACGAACGCUGGCGGCGUGCUUAACACAUGCAAGUCGAACGGAAAGACCCGGCGUUUGUUGGGUGCUCGAUUGGCGAACGGGGGAGUAACACGUGUGUAUCCUGCCCUUGACUUUGGGGUAACUUCAGGAAACUGGGGCUAUUAUCGCGUAUGAGCUCUUGCUGCAUGGUGGGGAUUGGAAAAAUUCGGCUGUUGGGGCUCGACUCGAUGCUUAUCAGCUUGUUGGUGAGGUAGGUGCUUACCAAGGGUUUGACGGGUAGCCGGCCUGAGAGGGUGAACGGCCACAUUGGGACUGAGAUACGGACCAGAAGCCUACGGGAGGCAGCAGUGGAGAAUAUUGCGGAAUGGGGGGAAGCCUGAUGCAGCAACGCCGCGUGCGGGAUGCCGGCCUUCGGGUUGUAAACAGAUUUCGACUGUGCCGAAGAGUGAGUGACGGUAAUGGGUAAAGAAGCAACGGCUAACUACGUG
RNAcentral lists this ribosomal RNA (468 nucleotides) under uncultured bacterium. Its description in RNAcentral is "partial 16S ribosomal RNA". It matches the Rfam family "Bacterial small subunit ribosomal RNA", at positions 28 to 507 of the family's 1533-position model. The record is from RNAcentral.